Molecule: ribosomal RNA, 492 nt
Filed under: uncultured bacterium
Lineage: Bacteria
Description: partial 16S ribosomal RNA
Rfam family: Bacterial small subunit ribosomal RNA
Source: RNAcentral
AGUGAACGCUGGCGGUAGGCCUAACACAUGCAAGUCGAACGGCAGCACAGUAAGAGCUUGCUCUUACGGGUGGCGAGUGGCGGACGGGUGAGGAAUACAUCGGAAUCUACUUUUUCGUGGGGGAUAACGUAGGGAAACUUACGCUAAUACCGCAUACGACCUACGGGUGAAAGCAGGGGAUCUUCGGACCUUGCGCGUUUGAAUGAGCCGAUGUCGGAUUAGCUAGUUGGCGGGGUAAAGGCCCACCAAGGCGACGAUCCGUAGCUGGUCUGAGAGGAUGAUCAGCCACACUGGAACUGAGACACGGUCCAGACUCCUAAGGGAGGCAGCAGUGGGGAAUAUUGGACAAUGGGCGCAAGCCUGAUCCAGCCAUACCGCGUGGGUGAAGAAGGCCUUCGGGUUGUAAAGCCCUUUUGUUGGGAAAGAAAAGCAGCAGGUUAAUACCCCGCUGUUCUGACGGUACCCAAAGAAUAAGCACCGGCUAACCUCGUG